RNAcentral lists this ribosomal RNA (475 nucleotides) under uncultured bacterium. RNAcentral describes it as "bacterial SSU rRNA". It matches the Rfam family "Bacterial small subunit ribosomal RNA", at positions 28 to 507 of the family's 1533-position model. The record is from RNAcentral.
GACGAACGCUGGCGGCGUGCCUAACACAUGCAAGUCGAGCGGGGUUGAAGCGAGAGGUAACUCGAACUUCUACCUAGCGGCGGACGGGUGAGUAACGCGUGGGCAACCUGCCUCAAGGUCUGGGAUAACAGCCCGAAAGGGCUGCUAAUACCGGGUAUGCUUGUGGCCUCGCAUGGGGCUACGAGCAAAGGGGAAACCCGCCUUGAGAUGGGCCCGCGUCCCAUCAGCUAGUUGGUGAGGUAACAGCUCACCAAGGCGACGACGGGUAGCCGGCCUGAGAGGGUGACCGGCCACACUGGGACUGAGACACGGCCCAGACUCCUACGGGGGGCAGCAGUGGGGGAUCUUGCACAAUGGGCGAAAGCCUGAUGCAGCGACGCCGCGUGAGCGAAGAAGGCCUUCGGGUUGUAAAGCUCUGUCUGGAGGGACGAAGGAAGUGACGGUACCUCCGGAGGAAGCCACGGCUAACUACGUG